GGGUGCGUAACACGUGGGUAACCUGCCCUUUGGUGGGGAAUAACUUCGCGAAAGCGAGGCUAAUUCCGCAUAAGAUCCGCAAGGAUGAAAGCCGAAAGGCGCCGAAGGAGGGGCCCGCGCACGAUUAGAUAGUUGGUAGGGUAACGGCCUACCAAGGCUAUGAUCGUUAGCUGGUCUGAGAGGAUGGCCAGCCACACUGGAACUGAGACACGGUCCAGACUCCUACGGGAGGCAGCAGUGGGGAAUCUUGCACAAUGGGCGAAAGCCUGAUGCAGCGACGCCGCGUGGGGGAUGAAGCUUCUCGGAGUGUAAACCCCUUUCGACCCGGACGAAUGCCCCGCAAGGGGACUGACGGUACGGGUAUAAGAAGCCCCGGCUAACUACGUGCCAGCAGCCGCGGUAAUACGUAGGGGGCCAGCGUUGCUCGGAAUUACUGGGUGUAAAGGGUUCGUAGGCGGUGCGGCAAGUUGGAAGUGAAAUCUCUGGGCUCAACCCAAAGGCUGCUUUCAAAACUGCUGUGCUUGAGUGUGGGAGAGGCGCGUGGAAUUGCAGGUGUAGCGGUGAAAUGCGUAGAUAUCUGCAGGAACACCCGUGGCGAAAGCGGCGCGCUGGACCACAACUGACGCUGAGGAACGAAAGCUAGGGGAGCAAACAGGAUUAGAUACCCUGGUAGUCCUAGCCCUAAACGAUCAGGACUUGGGGUGGCUCACGUUCGUGAGUCGUCCCGGAGCUAACGCGUUAAGUCCUGCACCUGGGGAGUACGGUCGCAAGACUGAAACU
This 780-nucleotide ribosomal RNA is filed under the name uncultured bacterium. Its description in RNAcentral is "bacterial SSU rRNA". It matches the Rfam family "Bacterial small subunit ribosomal RNA", at positions 104 to 901 of the family's 1533-position model. The record is from RNAcentral.